UACGAAGGGGCUAGCGUUGUUCGGAAUUACUGGGCGUAAAGCGCGCGCAGGCGGCCAUUCAAGUCAGGGGUGAAAGCCCAGAGCUCAACUCUGGAACUGCCCUUGAACUGUAUGGCUUGAGUAUGAGAGAGGUGAGUGGAAUUCCCAGUGUAGAGGUGAAAUUCGUAGAUAUUGGGAAGAACACCGGUGGCGAAGGCGGCUCACUGGCUCGAUUACUGACGCUCAGGCGCGACAGCGUGGGGAUCAAACAGG
This 252-nucleotide ribosomal RNA is filed under the name uncultured bacterium. RNAcentral's name for it is "partial 16S ribosomal RNA". It matches the Rfam family "Bacterial small subunit ribosomal RNA", at positions 524 to 776 of the family's 1533-position model. The record is from RNAcentral.